Long non-coding RNA from Bactrocera dorsalis (oriental fruit fly), 7327 nucleotides. RefSeq lists it as uncharacterized. The transcript has 4 exons. The record is from RefSeq and is a predicted model, not a curated record. NCBI's taxonomy places the organism in Eukaryota, Metazoa, Arthropoda, Insecta, Diptera, Tephritidae.
AACACUUACAAUCAGAUGGUUAGGGACUGUGAGUAACAGCAGAUCGUAGAAGUGUCGACAAGACGCAAAGCCAAGAGGCAGCAGAUGUCAGCUAGGCGGCCAACAGCAGCUGGAAUAUGCGAUGGUCGCUGGUCGCUGGUGUACCGUACUGUGUGUGACGUGUUGAUUGAGCGCUCAAUGGUUGGUGUAAGCGACGGCUGCUCAUAGUUUUUCGUCGUUCGUUGGCCUUUGGCCGUUUCUAGGUGGUGUGCUGAUGAAUUCUGCCGUUCAGUUGUUGGAUGGUCGGUUGCCAGCUUGACGUGCUGUGCUGUGGUGCUGUGUCGUGUUUGUGCAUUUGAAGUGAACAAGGUACUGAAACGACUGCGCAUUACUAUCAAUAAUUAGCGCAAAAUGAGUGGAAUUACAACAGAAUCAAUAAAAAAGUAACCGAUAAUGGAAGCUAAUAUUCUGAAAAUAUUUGACAUUACUUACUGUUAAUUUUCAAGUAUGCGAAUAUAUGUAGAUAAAUAAAUUAAUAUAUAGACAUUUGUUCGAAGUUCGAAAAUUGUGCUAUUUUCCGAUACACAAAUAAAAUAAUGGUACGACGAAAAAGGCGAAAAAGUGCUUGUAAUGAGAAAUAACAUCUAAAAUGUAAAAGUGCGAAAUAAAACUGGAAAUAAACGCAUAUAAUUAAUAACUAAAAAUGUUUGCGAACUACGCAGUUGACCAACUAGCUACGACGCGGCCAUGGAGCUUGGCGAGUGCUCAGUUAGUGUCGUUGGGGAGGAAUUCGCUGAUCAUGCCGCUCAUGGCAAUGGUGUUGACAGUAAUAGAGUGCAGCUCAUAGCAAAAAAAAAAGCCUGACUUCAGCUCAAAUGCCUUCCUGUGGAGCUUUUGGUGUUUUAUGCUACUGGCGUAAGAAGUGUCAGCGCCGCAGUUGUCGUAUCUUUGUAUCGUCGUUUCGUUAUGUGGGCACACGAAAACUAUUCGUUCCACCGAAUUGUUGUUCGCUGUACGAAUGCGCUACCGAAAACCGAGGCGGAUUCGGAAUUUAACGACAACGAGUAAUGUCGCCGAAACUUAAGUUCUUCUUUAAUUGUUAUUAUUAUUAUUAUUGUUAGUGUUGUUGUAUUUGUAGUUGUCGAGAAGGCCAACCUCGUCGGUAUGGUUGACGACUUUAUAGCGCCACUUGCGCCACUUGAACAACUAAUUUAGGGCGAAAGCAAUAACAACAAGCAGAGUAGCAAUAAGAAGAACAACAAUGACGACAAUAAUAUUCGUAACAACAAUAAAUGAGGCUAAGACAAUAAAGUGAAAAUGUGAACUUUGAAACAAAUGAUUUUUCUAACCAAUUUAAGAGGCCCGACACAUGCACACACGCAUACAUAUAUGUAUGUAUGUAUUAAAAAGACGAAACGGAGCAAUGGAUUAUAUUUGGAUGAAUUUAGCCACGAGAAUAUGUACAUAUAUUUACAUACAUGCAUUGUUGGUAUAACACCGAAAGCAAUGACAAUCUUAAACUGGAGCAAUGACAAUCGUUUUUAAGUGAGACGGUGCCACGCAACUAACUGCAAUACAAACAUCAGUGAUCAGGUCUAGAAGUGGACAACUGAAAUGUGCCUUACUGAUUUAGAGGUUGUCUAACGUAUACUAGUAUCAUGGUGAUAUGACGUAUUUUAUAUAUACUUACAUACUUGUAAAUAUCUGCUGGGAAUGCGUUAGUAAAAAAACAUGCAAAGAUUUCCUGCUGGGGCUGUGACGACAAUGCGUACAAAUUUAAAUAAUUUGUAAACAUGAUAAUAGAGAGUAUAAAGAAGCUCAAAUGCGAUAGCAAGCUCAAAUGCCAAACAACAACAACAAUAAUAAACAAUCAGAGGAAAUUAAGCAAUCAAAAGUAACACAAAUGUAGUCGCACAAAUAAAAUAGAAAAGGGGAGAGCGGAAGCAGAAACGCCAUCACCGCUUUGCAAAUGAAAUGGAAAUUGAAAAGCCCAGACAACGACAAUAACAACGACAGCAACCACUUCAGCGAAAACACUUCCGUCACAAUGAGUACUACGAACAAAUGAAACUAAAACAGACUUUGCACCAAUUUUCAAUGGCACGAGCGUCGAGAACAUUGAACUAUUUUCCACUUUUUACGGCGUGUAUAUAUUUUUAUGGGAAGUGUUGAGUUAUAUCGACGCCAACCGACUUCUACGCAAAUAUAUGCACCUAUUUAAAAAAGAAUAGAUAUAAACACACGGACAUGCACACAUGCUUGCCCAAAAUCGUGCUUGUAUGAAAACGUAAGCGAUUCUAAGUGAGCAGCGGAACAGUGAACAGCGAACGAAGUACUCUACAAUCAGAAAUCAACGAGCAGCAACAGUCAGUAACUUACUAGCAACGUCUCCUCUUCCCAAAAAAACAAAAUAAUAAUAUUAUUAAUAAUAAUGAAGAACGACUGAGACUGUCUUUGUUUGUAGCCGAAUGGAAUGGCAUGAAACGGAGCCUGAGACUGGCACGGGAGUGAGUGCACUCUUAUCUGUAAACCGCGAUCUACACCGACUCGACACCAAUCCACAUGAAAAUCGAACACUUACACAUACAAUCAGCGAUGACACCGUUUUACGAAUUCGCUUCGCCGCUUUUGCGUUUAUUGAAUGGGAUAAGUACAUCGCCAUAAACAGAUAUUCUAGCAAGCAAGCACCCCAAAACGAAAACAAAAACCAAAAAAAAACUGGAAAUUUUCAAAAUGAAAACAAACAUUGUGGAAGCAAAGCGCAGCUGAUAAGCUGGAGGUACUCACACGUUGUUCCGUCACCAUCUGCAGUCAGAACACUCCGGGUCAAUACUCGUGGUAGCACCCAAUGCGCCUCCGGACAGUUGAUUACUCCAUACCCCAUCAACGUCGGGGUUUUUCUGUCGUUUUUGUUGUUUUUUUCAAAUGGCUGGCAAAAUGGAAAUCCUAACAAAUUGCAGUUCUUACAAGCAAGACAACUUGACGAAUAUUAACCCUGAGAAUAUUAGAAGAGUUAAGGUCCGUUUAUGCGAGGCAAAUGUGGAUGCUGAGUUAAAAUUCUUAAGCUUCAUUUGAUGUGUGCUUGUUGCUUGUUGGUCUCACUUGUUGCCGUUUAGUGGCUUGUUGUUGUUACUUUCAUGCGGCGGCGCUAUCAUCGAUUGGUAAGCUUAACAUAUAUACAUAUGUAUUUACACACACACACACACACGUACAUGUGAAACGACACCUUCCGUCACCCCUUUGCGAGCGCACGCAGAUCUUUUCCGAGCAACUACAACAACAGCUAUAUGGCGAAAUGAAAAAGCGAACAUACACUCAUACUUACACAGGCGAACCAGAAGAAGAAGAAGAAAAACGAAAUAAAUAUCUUAGAGCGCAUACCCACACACACGCACACACACAGCCAGCAAGCAUAUCAUCACACACGAACGCUAUGCGCUUGUGUUGUGAUUGUUGUUUGAAUAAGACACAGUGAAAGAGGCAACAACAGCAAUCAAUAUGUGUUUGAGUACACAUACACCCAUACACAGCCACACACACACACAUGUAUGUAAGCGAUAGAAAUGAAGAAAUGAAAUGUUUUCAUUAGACACUUUUUUAUUUUUAUUGGAUUGACACGAUCCACAGUUGGAGCUGUGCUUCCGAACAUUGCGAGCGGUUUUCUUAGCUGUGACAGCUAACAGCCGACAGCCUGUUUCACAAAUAAAAAAAAAUAAAAAUAAAUAACAAAGAAGUAAAAAUAAAGCAGACACCGCCGAAGUAUUUACAUUUUUUCACUGAACUUUCUUUCUGCUGCUCAAUCUUUCAAAUUUCGCGAAUAUCAGUGCGCUUUUUUUUGUUUUUCGCCUUAUGUGAACAAAGUGUUGUGCUAAGUGCUUGAUUAGCAUAUGUACUCGUCUACAUAAUAAUUCGUACAAAUGUAGGAUUGUGGAUAGAAAUAAAAGUGUAUUUUUGAGCAAACUUAUGAUAUGAUUGAGGAUGUGUGACUUUCGUUGUGCAAAUACAUGUGCCAAACAUGUACAUACAUACAUAUGUAUGUGUGUGUGUGCAAGAGUUUAAGACAUAGCAUUGACGAUCGCAUAACCACUCGCCGUCUGGAAGCAGCCCCACGUGCCGACGUCGGCGACUGACCUACUUAAAUGUUUUACUGAUGCGCACUCGGCAGCGGCAGCGGCAGCGCCAGCUCACAUGCACGCACUCACACACGCACAGCGAUUUUUAUGAACUCGUUAGCGGCGGUAUGUAUGUAAGUGAACUUGUACACAUUAAAUAAUAUUAACUUUCAAACAUUGGAGCAUUUAUAUAACAACAAUUUGCGUUGUGGGAAAAUCGGUUUUUGUAGCUUUCCAAAAUGACUCAGCAGCAAUUAGGAUUGGAAUGUGUCAGUUCUUUCUCACUUAUUCGAUUUUUACUUCAAUAUCACGACUUCAUCUUCAUGUGCGACUAAAUGACAGAGUUCAGCAUAAUUGUAUGUAUAUUUUGAGUUGUUUGGGGCUUUGAGAAACGUGACAUAUCUACAACUUACAAGAGGAAACAGCAAUGGAAUAUGAAAUUAAAAAAAAAUGCUUUUGCUCCACAACUUAUGAACUUCACUUUACUUUACUUCCCUGCAGCCCUUGCCACCAACUUCGGUACAUUUUUGGUUCCGCCUUGGUUAUGGUUGUAAAAAUUAAUUACAAAUAUUUUUUUCUAUUAAAAUUUAAAUAUCUUACAAUCCGGUUGUAAACUGCAGCCUUACUUAGCCUUUGCACUAAGAAUUUCUAAGAAGCCAAUCUGUGAACUUCAGAUUUCUCAUAAGCUUAUAAAAUUUGUCAGUUACUGCACUCAACGACAUUCAAUCGUCCUUACAUUCUUGGCAUUCGAGACUGAAUGACUUGAUACCCUCUAGAAUAUUGUCAGCUAUAGUCCAACUGAGCACUUGUUGUAUGUCAAAAAAUAGGUUUGGGCUCAUUAGUAAGAGGUCUAUAAGGAAAAGUAAAAUUGACAUCUGAAAACAUUACAACAACACACAAUAUGCACCGCAACGGCAUUUUAGUUACUCCAUUACUGCAAAGUUCAUUUCAAGUAACACCAUUGCACCCGGUCUCGUGUGCAGCGAAACGAACGUGCUCACUUCGUUCAACUACUAAUAAUAUUCUUUGCACAGACACGUGCACAGACACAUUUGUUGCAUGCGCUGCAAUGAGCCAACAUUCGGCAUCAGCACGGCGUUCUUAUCGCUGUCCAGAGAUCGUUGUUGUUGUAGUUGUUUUUGCUGCAUAUUUUCUGUUGAUUGCAAUUGCAUAAAUGGGGCGCGUUCUGGAAUGUGGCAAAUCCAGUUUCUCACCUUCAAUGCGACCUGGCAAGCGGACAUGUGGUACUCGUAUAAGCCAGCAAAUGCUCUUUAGUCUCCGGCAGACUGCUCACUGACGUGUUGCAAGCAUGUUGCAUGCGCCUCUUCACUGGCGGCAUGUUGCUAGACUUUUUAUUACAAAAAUUGCAUUUAAUUUCAUGCUUUGUGAAUGUGUGUGUAUGUGGGCGUGCGCGAGUGUGUGUGUCUCAUGCACCGCUCUCCUGACCGCAGUCGUCAUUUAUGGCUUUCUUUUCGUCUGAGAAUGGAUUCUUGGAGCAAAUAUAGCAACUCUGUAUUGUUGUUUUUGCUGCGCUAAGUAGCUUCCGCCGUUGAAAUUCUCAUCUCUCACAUUGUUGGUAUGUUUGUUUACAAGCACGUUUCGAUGAUGUUUGCUUUAAUUCUUUUAUGUUGUUGCUAUUGUUAUUUGAUGCUUUUAUAUUGUUUCCGUGAAUCACUUAAUAUUGCCUGCAACACUCCUCUUUGACUGGCUACGUGUGUGUGUGUGUGUGUGUGAGUAGUUGCUGCUUCAUAAUUAUUAUUUUGUUUAAGUGGCUGGGCGCAGUUGGCGCUAGCGCCACGGAACUCCCACAUAUGAGAUUUGCGUUUACCGUUCGAACUCCUAUUGUGGAUCAUUAUUUGGUUUGUAUGGGCCUAAGCAUCACAUAAAUUUGUAGAUACUUGUUAUUCUUAUUUUAAAUACAUAAUUAUGGAACUGUGGUAAAACUUUUCUGAUGAAGAACUUGUUGCUUUUAGUAAACACCUGAUUUUAUAAACUUACUUUUUUUCAGCUGAUUGGCAACCCUGUAAAAACAGUUUCGAGAUGGCUCGAAUAGUUGAAAAUUUAGAAACUUAUAACAAAACUCGCGAAUUUGAAAUGGAAUAUUAUAAUUUGUUGAAGAAUAAAUCGACUCUAUUCGGGAGAAACUCAUACAAAGGCACGACAGAAACCGUGCAAAAGUGCGAUCUCGCUAAAGAAUCUUAUUGUAAAAUAAGAAAUGCGCGUGAACUACAUAAAAUUACGAAUCACAAACAAAAAAGGUGAAUCAACUAAAACAUAACAGAGUUAAUGAAAACAUAAAAUCACGCACAUCUUCGAAAGCGUGUGCUUAAAAUAAAAAGAAAAACAAAACAAAACGAAUAAUAAAAUGAAAACAAUAAAAUAAUUAAAUUAAGUCUAAUUUAUUAAAAUUAAAAAACCGAAAUCGGCAACAUAAAAUCGUUGUACAAAUUGAUUUACAUAUGCAUAUGUACGUAAGUAUGUAUGUGUGUGAGUAUGGGCAUUUGAUUGGAGGUGAAUACAUUUUCGAUUCGCUUCGAUGCGCUACAUCAAUCGGGCUUACUCGGAAGCUGUCUUUGCCUAUAAUUGCCAAUCGCCCGCGUUUGUACAACUUUAUAUACACAAACACACACAUGCAUACAUGCAUACAUCCACAUAAAUAAAGUGCGUAAAUACUGCGGAGAAUGUGAUUACACACAUACUAUAAAGUGAACAUACGCCUGCUGGUGUGUGGUUCGAUUGUUUGAUGUGAUCUGAACUGAUUUCAUAUGCGAUUUGAUUUGAACACAAAACCGGUUUUCGAUUUGAUUUGGCUGUUUCUUCAACAAGUGAGAUCAUUUUGAAAGCUGAUUUUGUCAAUGAAUUCAACAUUAAUAACCCCCAACUAUAUUAUAAUUAAUUAUAUGAUUGUGAACAUAAUAUACGAUUGUGCUACAUACAUAUGUAUUUGUUGUAUACGUAACGGUGCUACAAAGACCAUGCCUAGUUGCGCGCCUAACAAUUGUUGGUAUUUUUAAUGUCGGCGGCAGCAAACGCUAACCGUUGGCGUCAAUAGCUUUGAUAAAGCUCAUAGAGCUAAGACAAAGAGAAUGGACAACAACAAAAUUGGGAAUGUAAAACUUUGAACUUUAGCCGACAAAAUAUUAGGAAAUUUUCGGUUAAGUAUUUGUGUGUGAAUUUACAGUGGCGGUCAUCUAAAUUCGUACAAUUUUCUUUUCAAAGAGUUUAUAAGGGUUAAG